UUGUAAGGCAGAUUGCUUCCUUGCUGCACGUUUGUGAGCAAGUAAAUUGUUUUUGUUUCUUCCUCCUUUGUUCUCUGUUUUGUUCUUUUUCUAAGAGCUGCUGCCAUUGUUCUUUCUUUUUCUUUUUUCUUCCUGUUAACCGAGAGCUUAUGCUCUUGAUGCUUUGUGUUUCUGCUUGCUGUUUGAAGAGCUUAUGCUCUUAGUGUUUCAUUGUUUGGUUGCUGCUGCCAAAUGUUCCAACAAC
RNAcentral lists this long non-coding RNA (244 nucleotides) under Gossypium raimondii (Peruvian cotton). RNAcentral describes it as "long non-coding RNA (GRAI_LNC004760)". Lineage: Eukaryota; Viridiplantae; Streptophyta; Magnoliopsida; Malvales; Malvaceae. The record is from RNAcentral.